Molecule: ribosomal RNA, 1062 nt
Filed under: uncultured bacterium
Lineage: Bacteria
Description: bacterial SSU rRNA
Rfam family: Bacterial small subunit ribosomal RNA
Source: RNAcentral
CUCCUACGGGAGGCAGCAGUAGGGAAUCUUCGGCAAUGGGGGCAACCCUGACCGAGCAACGCCGCGUGAGUGAAGAAGGUUUUCGGAUCGUAAAGCUCUGUUGUAAGAGAAGAACGUGUGUGGGAGUGGAAAAUCCACACAAUGACGGUAACUUACCAGAAAGGGACGGCUAACUACGUGCCAGCAGCCGCGGUAAUACGUAGGUCCCGAGCGUUGUCCGGAUUUAUUGGGCGUAAAGCGAGCGCAGGCGGUUAGAUAAGUCUGAAGUUAAAGGCUGUGGCUUAACCAUAGUACGCUUUGGAAACUGUUUAACUUGAGUGCAGAAGGGGAGAGUGGAAUUCCAUGUGUAGCGGUGAAAUGCGUAGAUAUAUGGAGGAACACCGGUGGCGAAAGCGGCUCUCUGGUCUGUAACUGACGCUGAGGCUCGAAAGCGUGGGGAGCAAACAGGAUUAGAUACCCUGGUAGUCCACGCCGUAAACGAUGAGUGCUAGGUGUUAGGCCCUUUCCGGGGCUAGUGCCGCAGCUAACGCAUUAAGCACUCCGCCUGGGGAGUACGACCGCAAGGUUGAAACUCAAAGGAAUUGACGGGGGCCCGCACAAGCGGUGGAGCAUGUGGUUUAAUUCGAAGCAACGCGAAGAACCUUACCAGGUCUUGACAUCCCGAUGCCCGCUCUAGAGAUAGAGUUUUACUUCGGUACAUCGGUGACAGGUGGUGCAUGGUUGUCGUCAGCUCGUGUCGUGAGAUGUUGGGUUAAGUCCCGCAACGAGCGCAACCCUUAUUGUUAGUUGCCAUCAUUUAGUUGGGCACUCUAGCGAGACUGCCGGUAAUAAACCGGAGGAAGGUGGGGAUGACGUCAAAUCAUCAUGCCCCUUAUAACCUGGGCUACACACGUGCUACAAUGGCUGGUACAACGAGUCGCAAGUCGGUGACGGCAAGCUAAUCUCUUAAAGCCAGUCUCAGUUCGGAUUGUAGGCUGCAACUCGCCUACAUGAAGUCGGAAUCGCUAGUAAUCGCGGAUCAGCACGCCGCGGUGAAUACGUUCCCGGGUCUUGUACACACGC